Molecule: ribosomal RNA, 253 nt
Filed under: uncultured bacterium
Lineage: Bacteria
Description: partial 16S ribosomal RNA
Rfam family: Bacterial small subunit ribosomal RNA
Source: RNAcentral
UACGUAGGGGGCAAGCGUUGUCCGGAAUUAUUGGGCGUAAAGGGCGUGUAGGCGGUUAUGAAAGUCAGAUGUGAAAGGCUACGGCUCAACCGUAGAGCUGCAUCUGAAACUGUAUAACUUGAGUGCAGGAGAGGAAAGUGGAAUUCCCGGUGUAGCGGUGGAAUGCGUAGAGAUCGGGAGGAACACCAGUGGCGAAGGCGGCUUUCUGGCCUGCAACUGACGCUGAGGCGCGAAAGCGUGGGGAGCAAACAGG